UACAGAGGGGGCAAGCGUUAUUCGGAAUUAUUGGGCGUAAAGGGCGCGUAGGCGGUUCUUCAAGUCUCUCGUGAAAUCCCUCGGCUUAACUGAGGACGUGCGGGAGAUACUGAAGGGCUUGAGUCCGGAAGAGGGUGGUGGAAUUCCCAGUGUAGCGGUGAAAUGCGUGGAUAUUGGGAGGAACACCGGUGGCGAAGGCGGCCACCUGGGCGGGAACUGACGUUGAGGCGCGAAAGCGUGGGAGCAAACGGG
This 252-nucleotide ribosomal RNA is filed under the name uncultured bacterium. Its description in RNAcentral is "partial 16S ribosomal RNA". It matches the Rfam family "Bacterial small subunit ribosomal RNA", at positions 524 to 776 of the family's 1533-position model. The record is from RNAcentral.